GAGAGCCGUAUACGUCGAGAGGUGUACGUACGGUUCGGGGAGGAGUUCUUGGAAACCUACCAUAGAAAUAUGGAAAGGCGCCGGGUUCUUACUCUAC
Molecule: non-coding RNA, 97 nt
Organism: Marchantia polymorpha subsp. polymorpha
Lineage: Eukaryota; Viridiplantae; Streptophyta; Marchantiopsida; Marchantiales; Marchantiaceae
Source: Rfam